This 18-nucleotide unclassified non-coding RNA is filed under the name Mus musculus (house mouse). RNAcentral's name for it is "oocyte_clustered_small_RNA5965". Lineage: Eukaryota; Metazoa; Chordata; Mammalia; Rodentia; Muridae. The record is from RNAcentral.
CUUCUUGAUCACUGCUAA